This 1269-nucleotide ribosomal RNA is filed under the name Arthrobacter sp. W-2. Its description in RNAcentral is "bacterial SSU rRNA". It matches the Rfam family "Bacterial small subunit ribosomal RNA", at positions 190 to 1467 of the family's 1533-position model. The record is from RNAcentral. Lineage: Bacteria; Bacillati; Actinomycetota; Actinomycetes; Micrococcales; Micrococcaceae.
AGUGAGUCUCUCUAAUGCCUGUUGGGGGUGGAAGGCUUUGGCUGAUGAUUCGGCAUUCGCUUGGUUGGUGAGGUAAUGCUCACCAAGCGACGACGGGUAGCCGUCUUGAGAGGGUAUCGGACCACUGGACUGAGACCCGGCCCAGACUCCUACGGAGGCAGGCAGUGGGGAAUAUUGCACAUGGGCGGCAAGCUGAUGCAGCGACGCCGCGUGAGGGAUGACGGCCUUCGGUUGUAAACCUCUUUCAGUAGGGAAGAAGCGAAAGUGACGGUACCUGCAGAAGAAGCGCCGGCUAACUACGUGCCAGCAGCCGCGGUAAUACGUAGGGCGCAAGCGUUAUCCGGAAUUAUUGGGCGUAAAGAGCUCGUAGGCGGUUUGUCGCGUCUGCCGUGAAAGUCCGGGGCUCAACUCCGGAUCUGCGGUGGGUACGGGCAGACUAGAGUGAUGUAGGGGAGACUGGAAUUCCUGGUGUAGCGGUGAAAUGCGCAGAUAUCAGGAGGAACACCGAUGGCGAAGGCAGGUCUCUGGGCAUUAACUGACGCUGAGGAGCGAAAGCAUGGGGAGCGAACAGGAUUAGAUACCCUGGUAGUCCAUGCCGUAAACGUUGGGCACUAGGUGUGGGGGACAUUCCACGUUUUCCGCGCCGUAGCUAACGCAUUAAGUGCCCCGCCUGGGGAGUACGGCCGCAAGGCUAAAACUCAAAGGAAUUGACGGGGGCCCGCACAAGCGGCGGAGCAUGCGGAUUAAUUCGAUGCAACGCGAAGAACCUUACCAAGGCUUGACAUGGGCCGGACCGGGCUGGAAACAGUCCUUCCCCUUUGGGGCCGGUUCACAGGUGGUGCAUGGUUGUCGUCAGCUCGUGUCGUGAGAUGUUGGGUUAAGUCCCGCAACGAGCGCAACCCUCGUUCCAUGUUGCCAGCGCGUAAUGGCGGGGACUCAUGGGAGACUGCCGGGGUCAACUCGGAGGAAGGUGGGGACGACGUCAAAUCAUCAUGCCCCUUAUGUCUUGGGCUUCACGCAUGCUACAAUGGCCGGUACAAAGGGUUGCGAUACUGUGAGGUGGAGCUAAUCCCAAAAAGCCGGUCUCAGUUCGGAUUGGGGUCUGCAACUCGACCCCAUGAAGUCGGAGUCGCUAGUAAUCGCAGAUCAGCAACGCUGCGGUGAAUACGUUCCCGGGCCUUGUACACACCGCCCGUCAAGUCACGAAAGUUGGUAACACCCGAAGCCGGUGGCCUAACCCCUUGUGGGAGGGAGCUGUCGAAGGUGGAC